AGUGAACGCUGGCGGUAGGCCUAACACAUGCAAGUCGAACGGCAGCACAGUAAGAGCUUGCUCUUACGGGUGGCGAGUGGCGGACGGGUGAGGAAUACAUCGGAAUCUACUUUUUCGUGGGGGAUAACGUAGGGAAACUUACGCUAAUACCGCAUACGACCUACGGGUGAAAGCAGGGGAUCUUCGGACCUUGCGCGAUUGAAUGAGCCGAUGUCGGCUUAGCUCGUUGGCGGGGUAAAGGCCCACCAAGGCGACGAUCCGUAGCUGGUCUGAGAGGAUGAUCAGCCACACUGGAACUGAGACACGGUCCAGACUCCUACGGGAGGCAGCAGUGGGGAAUAUUGGGCAAUGGGCGAAAGCCUGAUCCAGCCAUACCGCGUGAGUGAAGAAGGCCUUCGGGUUGUAAAGCCCUGUUGUUGGGAAAGAAAAGAAGCAGUUUAAUACCCGGCUGUUCUGACGGUACCCAAAGAAUAAGCACCGGCUAACUUCGUG
RNAcentral lists this ribosomal RNA (492 nucleotides) under uncultured bacterium. RNAcentral describes it as "partial 16S ribosomal RNA". It matches the Rfam family "Bacterial small subunit ribosomal RNA", at positions 29 to 507 of the family's 1533-position model. The record is from RNAcentral.